GGGCAUUUGUUUUUCUUGGUUACAGGUGCUUUGUUGAGAAUGCAUCUUUUGUGUAAGUCACUGAAUGGCUGUAUAAAAUACUCACAGCUCCCCAAACACAGGGAUACUCCCUUUUACCUCUGCAACUUGGCACACACUGCAUUGCACCUGCUGAGUUAUUUCUCUUGCUAAGCCCUUCUCAUCCAUCAGGCCUCAGUUUGGACACCAUGUCCUCCAGGAAGUCUCUCCUAAUCACUAAAAACUGGGUGAAAUGGGUGCCUGCCCUCUUUGUGCAUCCAUGCUGCUAUGAGAACAGUUACCGCACUUCAAAAGAAUGAGCAGUUUUCUCGACAGUCUUCCCAUGAAACAGUAAGCUCGUUGGGGUAGGGACCCAGUCUUGCUCACUACUGUAUUCUUAGUGCUCAGCAUAGCACCUGGCACUGUGGGUCCCCAAUAAAUAUAAGCACAUUUGGAGAGUCUCUAUAAUUUGAGAGUUGGCAGGAAGACAGAGGUCAGGAUGGAGGCUUUGUCAAAUUGUCUGUCCCUUCCCAUUGAUAUUACCACAGUUGUAAGUCCUGCUAAAAAGUACUUCUGCUUCCUUAGAUGUGUUCCACUAGACACAAUAGUAAGAACAACAGUGCAGGGAAACUCAUGUGAAGCCUCCCAAAGUGCUGGGAUUACAGGCAUGAGCCACUUCGCCUGGUCAGUUUAUAUGUA
This 696-nucleotide long non-coding RNA is filed under the name Homo sapiens (human). RNAcentral's name for it is "non-protein coding lnc-COG3-4:1". Lineage: Eukaryota; Metazoa; Chordata; Mammalia; Primates; Hominidae. The record is from RNAcentral.